This is a long non-coding RNA of Pipra filicauda (Wire-tailed manakin), 346 nucleotides long. RefSeq lists it as uncharacterized. Lineage: Eukaryota; Metazoa; Chordata; Aves; Passeriformes; Pipridae. The transcript is spliced from 2 exons. The record is from RefSeq and is a predicted model, not a curated record.
GCGCGCUGCGGCCGCCGCAGCGGAGCGCGGCGCUGCGGGGGCGUCGUGGCCGGUAGGGGGCGCUGCGGCGCCGGCGGAGCAGGUUGAACAGCCCCAACUUCCUCAGUCUGUGUCAUGAUACUCAGAGAAAUGAGUAAGACAGGGUGUACUGGAUUGGGAGCCAUUGAAGGGACACAGGUGAUGCCAGCUGAAAGUCACCAGCUGAUGGGAACAGCUCUAAGGUUCCUCUUACUCCUGUCAGCACUUCCUCUGCUGGAAGCGGAAUUCAUGUCAACCUGCAAAACCAUUAAAGAAGCAAAUUGUCCUUCCGUUGUUCUUACCAAUAAAAAAGAACCAAACCUGAAAA